UCGGGAAUUUUGGGCAAUGGGCGAAAGCCUGACCCAGCAACGCCGCGUGAAGGAUGAAGUAUUUCGGUAUGUAAACUUCGAAAGAAUGGGAAGAAUCAAUGACGGUACCAUUUAUAAGGUCCGGCUAACUACGUGCCAGCAGCCGCGGUAAUACGUAGGGACCAAGCGUUGUUCGGAUUUACUGGGCGUAAAGGGCGCGUAGGCGGCUUUGUAAGUCACUUGUGAAAUCUCCGGGCUUAACUCGGAACGGCCAAGUGAUACUGCAAAGCUAGAGUGCAGAAGGGGCAAUCGGAAUUCUUGGUGUAGCGGUGAAAUGCGUAGAUAUCAAGAGGAACACCUGAGGUGAAGACGGGUUGCUGGGCUGACACUGACGCUGAGGCGCGAAAGCCAGGGGAGCAAACGGGAUUAGAUACCCAUGUAGUCCCUGAGCGGGCUGGCAAGGCGCAU
Molecule: ribosomal RNA, 447 nt
Filed under: uncultured bacterium
Lineage: Bacteria
Description: bacterial SSU rRNA
Rfam family: Bacterial small subunit ribosomal RNA
Source: RNAcentral